GACGGAGGAUGCAAGCGUUAUCCGGAAUGAUUGGGCGUAAAGCGUCCGCAGGUGGCAGUUCAAGUCUGCUGUCAAAGACCGGGGCUUAACUUCGGAAAGGCAGUGGAAACUGAACAGCUAGAGUAUGGUAGGGGCAGAGGGAAUUCCCGGUGUAGCGGUGAAAUGCGUAGAGAUCGGGAAGAACAUCGGUGGCGAAAGCGCUCUGCUGGACUGCAACUGACACUCAGGGACGAAAGCUAGGGGAGCGAAUGGG
RNAcentral lists this ribosomal RNA (253 nucleotides) under uncultured bacterium. RNAcentral's name for it is "partial 16S ribosomal RNA". It matches the Rfam family "Bacterial small subunit ribosomal RNA", at positions 524 to 776 of the family's 1533-position model. The record is from RNAcentral.